GACGAACGCUGGCGGCGUGCUUAACACAUGCAAGUCGAACGGAAAGGCCUGCUUUCCCUUGUGGAUUGCGGGUACUCGAGUGGCGAACGGGUGAGUAACACGUGAGUGAUCUGCCCCCAACUUGGGUAUAAGCCUGGGAAACUGGGUCUAAUUCCCGAUAGGACUGCAGGGUGGUGCCUGUGGUGGAAAACGAUUUUCUAGUGGUUGGGGAUGAGCUCGCGGCCUAUCAGCUUGUUGGUGGGGUAAUGGCCUACCCAGGCGGCGACGGGUAGCCGGCCUGAGAGGGUGGACGGCCACAGUGGGACUGAGAUACGGCCCAGACUCCUACGGGAGGCAGCAGUGGGGAAGAUUGGACAAUGGGCGGAAGCCUGAUGCAGCGACGCCGCGUGGGGGAUGACGGCCUUCGGGUUGUAAACUCCUUUCGACCGCGAGGAAGCCACCUGGUUGGAAGGGUGGUGACGGUAGUGGUAGAAGAAGCACCGGCUAACUACGUG
RNAcentral lists this ribosomal RNA (494 nucleotides) under uncultured bacterium. Its description in RNAcentral is "partial 16S ribosomal RNA". It matches the Rfam family "Bacterial small subunit ribosomal RNA", at positions 28 to 507 of the family's 1533-position model. The record is from RNAcentral.